GGCUCGGUAGCUUGGUUGUUAAAGCGCUCGUCUAGCGUACAAGAGUCCUGGGUUCAAAUCCCACCCGAGCAC
Molecule: non-coding RNA, 72 nt
Organism: Aedes aegypti (yellow fever mosquito)
Lineage: Eukaryota; Metazoa; Arthropoda; Insecta; Diptera; Culicidae
Source: Rfam